UGCGUAGGUGGCGAGGUAAGUUUGGUGUGAAAUCUCCGGGCUCAACCCGGAAACUGCAUUGAAUACUAUCUUGCUUGAGGGUCGGAGGGGAGACUGGAAUUCUCGGUGUAGCAGUGAAAUGCGUAGAUAUCGAGAGGAACACCGGUGGCGAAGGCGAGUCUCUGGACGACACCUGACACUGAGGCACGAAAGCUAGGGGAGCAAACA
Molecule: ribosomal RNA, 207 nt
Filed under: uncultured bacterium
Lineage: Bacteria
Description: partial 16S ribosomal RNA
Rfam family: Bacterial small subunit ribosomal RNA
Source: RNAcentral